CACAGCAGAGCUUUGCUCUGUGGGUGGCGAGUGGUUUACUGGUGAGGAAUACAUGGGAAUCUGCCCAGUCGUGGGGGAUAACGUAUGGAAACGUACGCUAAUACCGCAUGCGCCCUUCGGGGGAAAGCCGGGGAUCUUCGGACCUGGCGCGAUUGGAUGAGCCCAUGUCGGAUUAGCUAGUUGGGGGGGUAAAGGCCCACCAAGGCGACGAUCCGUAGCUGGUCUGAGAGGAUGAUCAGCCACACUGGAACUGAGACACGGUCCAGACUCCUACGGGAGGCAGCAGUAGGGAAUAUUGGACAAUGGGCGCAAGCCUGAUCCAGCCAUGCCGCGUGUGUGAAGAAGGCCUUCGGGUUGUAAAGCACUUUUGUCCGGAAAGAAAAGCGCUGGGUUAAUACCCUGGUGUCCUGACAGUACCGUGAAGAAUAAGCACCGGCUAACUUCGUGCCAGCAGCCGCGGUUAAUACGAAGGGUGCAAGCGUUUACUCGGGAAUUUACUGGGCGUAAAGCGUGCGUAGGUGGUUUGUUAAGUCUGAUGUGAAAGCCCCUGGGCUCAACCUGGGAAUUGCAUUUGUAUACU
RNAcentral lists this ribosomal RNA (580 nucleotides) under uncultured bacterium. RNAcentral describes it as "bacterial SSU rRNA". It matches the Rfam family "Bacterial small subunit ribosomal RNA", at positions 68 to 634 of the family's 1533-position model. The record is from RNAcentral.